Molecule: ribosomal RNA, 269 nt
Filed under: uncultured bacterium
Lineage: Bacteria
Description: partial 16S ribosomal RNA
Rfam family: Bacterial small subunit ribosomal RNA
Source: RNAcentral
GUAUUCCUACGGGGCGCAGCAGUCGAGAAUCAUUCACAAUGGGGGAAACCCUGAUGGUGCGACGCCGCGUGGGGGAAUGAAGGUCUUCGGAUUGUAAACCCCUGUCAUGUGGGAGCAAAUUAAAAAGAUAGUACCACAAGAGGAAGAGACGGCUAACUCUGUGCCAGCAGCCGCGGUAAUACAGAGGUCUCAAGCGUUGGUCGGAAUCACUGGGCGUAAAGCGUGCGUAGGCUGUUUCGUAAGUCGGGUGUGAGAGGCGCGGGGUCAAC